GAUGAACGCUGGCGGCGUGCCUAAUACAUGCAAGUCGAGCGAACAGACGAGGAGCUUGCUCCUCUGACGUUAGCGGCGGACGGGUGAGUAACACGUGGAUAACCUACCUAUAAGACUGGGAUAACUUCGGGAAACCGGAGCUAAUACCGGAUAAUAUAUUGAACCGCAUGGUUCAAUAGUGAAAGACGGUUUUGCUGUCACUUAUAGAUGGAUCCGCGCCGCAUUAGCUAGUUGGUAAGGUAACGGCUUACCAAGGCGACGAUGCGUAGCCGACCUGAGAGGGUGAUCGGCCACACUGGAACUGAGACACGGUCCAGACUCCUACGGGAGGCAGCAGUAGGGAAUCUUCCGCAAUGGGCGAAAGCCUGACGGAGCAACGCCGCAUGAGUGAUGAAGGUCUUCGGAUCGUAAAGCUCUGUUAUUAGGGAAGAACAAAUGUGUAAGUAACUAUGCACGUCUUGACGGUACCUAAUCAGAAAGCCACGGCUAACUACGUG
Molecule: ribosomal RNA, 497 nt
Filed under: uncultured bacterium
Lineage: Bacteria
Description: partial 16S ribosomal RNA
Rfam family: Bacterial small subunit ribosomal RNA
Source: RNAcentral